This 257-nucleotide ribosomal RNA is filed under the name Citrobacter rodentium. RNAcentral's name for it is "partial 16S ribosomal RNA". It matches the Rfam family "Bacterial small subunit ribosomal RNA", at positions 1 to 254 of the family's 1533-position model. Lineage: Bacteria; Pseudomonadati; Pseudomonadota; Gammaproteobacteria; Enterobacterales; Enterobacteriaceae. The record is from RNAcentral.
AAAUUGAAGAGUUUGAUCAUGGCUCAGAUUGAACGCUGGCGGCAGGCCUAACACAUGCAAGUCGAACGGUAACAGGAAGCAGCUUGCUGCUUCGCUGACGAGUGGCGGACGGGUGAGUAAUGUCUGGGAAACUGCCCGGUGGAGGGGGAUAACUACUGGAAACGGUAGCUAAUACCGCAUAACGUCGCAAGACCAAAGAGGGGGACCUUCGGGCCUCUUGCCACCGGAUGUGCCCAGAUGGGAUUAGCUUGUUGGUG